Molecule: ribosomal RNA, 253 nt
Filed under: uncultured prokaryote
Description: partial 16S ribosomal RNA
Rfam family: Bacterial small subunit ribosomal RNA
Source: RNAcentral
GACAGAGGUGCCGAGCGUUAGGCGGAAUCACUGGGCUUAAAGCGUGUGUAGGCGGGUCGUUAAGUGCCUUGUGAAAUCCCACGGCUCAACCGUGGAACUGCUGGGCAUACUGGCGAUCUUGGGCAGCCUAGGGGCGAGCGGAACAAACGGUGGAGCGGUGAAAUGCGUAGAUAUCGUUUGGAACGCCGAUGGUGAAAACAGCUCGCUGGGGGCUCGCCGACGCUGAGACACGAAAGCCAGGGGAGCAAACGGG